UUUGAAAUACAUUUGAAACACGAACCGCUGUAGUUACCGAAGCAGCUUUAAAAGACUCACAUAUAUCAUUUAAAAAAAAAAACAUUUGAUAAGCCAAUACUAAAUUUUGACGUCAAAGACGAGCUGUCCACUGUAGUGACUAAUGCACAGCAUUAAUGCCACUCAUUUGCAUCUAUAGAAGUGUUUCUGAAAUAAUUUCUACUGUGGCGAUGCAAAACUAAAAAUUCUCUCACAUACACACACGUUAUCACAAUAGGCCCUCUUGUCUGUGGUCAUUUCCUGCCUGAGCGACACAUUGAGUGACGCUUGUCUCACAUUGAGGGUUUGGAGACUUUGGCGUCAGCCCUCGACACACUUUGGUCACAGGUUUGAUGCCAAGCGUCAUCACGAGGCGCUGCCCAGCCACUCUUCCAAUACACCACGUUAGCACAACACAACGACCCAUGUGCUAAUGGGGUUCCACCUGGAUGUGAGCCGCAUGCGAGUGACAUUUAGCGAGCGGCUUGUGUUGCGUCCAGGUGCACCAGGACCCGCCUCCGAGAUCGACGCAUUAAUGGAGUGUCCCCCGGGGAAAAAAAAAGAAAAAAAAAACUUUCGUCAGAUUCCGUAAUUCACACUCACCGCUUUGAGAUCCAACAUGCGUGACAUUCGAUUAAAUGUGCUCAUUUGUGUGUGACGUUGAGGGAGCGUGGGAAAGAGCGGCAUUGCACGUCUUAUUUAAGGGCACGACUGUCUGUUUUAUGGACAAAGAACAACCAACAAGGAGGCUGACGACGAGUGAGAGACAACAAUGAAGGGCCCGCGACCAUGACGGGAACGACAAGGCGUCUGCAUGCCGGCGACUGAGACUACCUAACUCCAACAAGCCAAGUCUGACAACCACUUUCCAUGGCUUGUCAGUUGAAGCGGCCCUCUAUCUCUCUUCCGGGACCUGAGCGUCUCAGGCGAGUAUCUAAUUAAAUCAGUCAAUUAUGUGGCUCGUUGCUUAUGGCAAUGAUACGUGUUGAAAACAAAAAUCUCAUCAGCGCGGGUUCGACCUGGACACUUUGUCAGAGGCUCUUUCUGCUUCACGAACGGUCGACUGGCUACGCUGUGAGUGCGAGCUCCCGACAGUCUAGAAAGGCAAGGAGAAGACCAACUUUCACGUGUUUGGACGCUCCAGCGUAGCACUGAGGGGUCAGCGGGAGGGCAAGACAACAGGAAGUACAUGCAGCAACACACUCAGGGUGUGUGUGGGAGCGUCAGUGUGCGUGUGUGUGCACAGAGGCAAAAUAUGCACACGCUGCUUAGGAAUCUGUUCAAAAACACCCAGAAAUUGGACAGCGAUGUAUUUAAUUCUCUCCAGGAAAUGUCUAAGCUUAGCCAGCAUCCUGGUGAGCUUGUGUGUAUUGUAUCUGUGUGUGUGUGUGUGAGUGAGUGUGUGUGUGUGUUUGAAUGUGUGCAGUUGCAGGAUCAGAGGUGGAAGGCAGCUUAAUUGCCACAGCAACAGCGGCAGAAGCGCGAGGUGAUGGGGAAGCGAUUGGCUUAGCAUGGUUAGCUUAGCAUUGUCUUUGAGUUCAUUGUUCGAUUAGUGUCAAAUCGAGGGCACAAUGAGGUUCGUGUGCGCUCAUGACUGCAUGCACCGUCUGAUUGGUGUAUUUGAAUAAAAUGACACUGGUGAGGCGGCACCGUGGAGCUGAUGUAGAGCGUUGGUCUCACAGUUCUGAGAACUAGGGUUCAAAUCCCGCCCCCAUCUGUGUGGAGUUUGCAUGUACUCCCCGUGCCGGCAUAAGUUUUCUCCGGGCACUUUG
This is a long non-coding RNA of Syngnathoides biaculeatus (alligator pipefish), 1790 nucleotides long. RefSeq lists it as uncharacterized. Lineage: Eukaryota; Metazoa; Chordata; Actinopteri; Syngnathiformes; Syngnathidae. The transcript has 3 exons. The record is from RefSeq and is a predicted model, not a curated record.